Molecule: long non-coding RNA, 498 nt
Filed under: Mytilus galloprovincialis (Mediterranean mussel)
Lineage: Eukaryota; Metazoa; Mollusca; Bivalvia; Mytilida; Mytilidae
Source: RNAcentral
AUGAUCUACUCUCAACUAUAGAUACAAAGAAUAAUAAACUACAUAAAAAGUUUAAAAAGCCAGUCAAUGGUUUAAAACAAUUAAUUAAAACACAUAAAUUGAUAGACAUUUGGAGACAAUUAAAUAAAGAUAAAAAACAAUACACAUGGAAAAGGAAAAAUUCUACAAAUGAAGCUAGUAGAAUAGACUUUUUUAUAAUAUGCACACAAGCACGCAUAAACACUGUAUCUGCUGAUAUCAGGCCUGCACAAAUUUCAUUCACAGAUCACCUGGCUAUUUCAAUUAAAUUAGACAUUUAUGCAAACAAUCGGGGUGAAGGAUAUUUUAAAAUGAAUAAUAGUAUAUUGACUGAUACUCAGUAUAAUAAACUAAUAAAUAAGUUAAUUGAAAAGUAUGAGCAAAAUUUUGAUCUUACAAAUGUCCGUAAUCAGUGGGACCUGCUAAAAACUGACAUAAGAGAGUCUACUAUCCAAUACUGUAAAUCUAAAGCCAAAGAAA